Molecule: ribosomal RNA, 496 nt
Filed under: uncultured bacterium
Lineage: Bacteria
Description: partial 16S ribosomal RNA
Rfam family: Bacterial small subunit ribosomal RNA
Source: RNAcentral
AUGAACGCUGGCGGCGUGCCUAAUACAUGCCAGUCGAGCGAACAGACGAGGAGCUUGCUCCUCUGACGUUAGCGGCGGCCGGGUGAGUAACCCGUGGAUAACCUACCUAUAAGACUGGGAUAACUUCGGGAAACCGGAGCUAAUACCGGAUAAUAUAUUGAACCGCAUGGUUCAAUAGUGAAAGACGGUUUUGCUGUCACUUAUAGAUGGAUCCGCGCCGCAUUAGCUAGUUGGUAAGGUAACGGCUUACCAAGGCAACGAUGCGUAGCCGACCUGAGAGGGUGAUCGGCCACACUGGAACUGAGACACGGUCCAGACUCCUACGGGAGGCAGCAGUAGGGAAUCUUCCGCAAUGGGCGAAAGCCUGACGGAGCAACGCCGCGUGAGUGAUGAAGGUCUUCGGAUCGUAAAACUCUGUUAUUAGGGAAGAACAAAUGUGUAAGUAACUAUGCACGUCUUGACGGUACCUAAUCAGAAAGCCACGGCUAACUACGUG